Molecule: transfer RNA, 75 nt
Filed under: Enterocloster aldenensis
Lineage: Bacteria; Bacillati; Bacillota; Clostridia; Lachnospirales; Lachnospiraceae
Description: [Clostridium] aldenense tRNA-Arg
Rfam family: tRNA
About the family: Transfer RNA (tRNA) molecules are approximately 80 nucleotides in length. Their secondary structure includes four short double-helical elements and three loops (D, anti-codon, and T loops).
Source: RNAcentral
GCCUUUAUAGGCUAAUGGACAAACUGCCUGACUUCGAAUCAGGUGUUAUGAGUUCGAAUCUCAUUAAAGGCACUA